Molecule: non-coding RNA, 119 nt
Organism: Triticum aestivum (bread wheat)
Lineage: Eukaryota; Viridiplantae; Streptophyta; Magnoliopsida; Poales; Poaceae
Source: Rfam
CACUUACUCCCUCCGUUCGGAAUUACUCGUCCAAAAAAUAAAUGAAAGUAUCUGGAUGUAUUUAAGUUAUAGAUACAUUCAUUUUUGUGACAAGUAAUUCCGAACGAAGGGAGUACAAA